CAGCCGCCACGGUAAUACGAAGGGUGCGAGCGUUAAUCGGAAUUACUGGGCGUAAAGCGUGCGCAGGCGGUUAUAUAAGACAGAUGUGAAAUCCCCGGGCUCAACCUGGGAACUGUAUUUGAGACUGUAUGGCUAGAGUGUGUCAGAGGGGGGUAGAAUUCCACGUGUAGCAGUGAAAUGCGUAGAUAUGUGGAGGAAUACCGAUGGCGAAGGCAGCCCCCUGGGAUAACACUGACGCUCAUGCACGAAAGCGUGGGGAGCAAACAGGAUUAGAUACCCCCGUAGUCCCUGUCUCUUAUAA
This 301-nucleotide ribosomal RNA is filed under the name uncultured bacterium. RNAcentral's name for it is "partial 16S ribosomal RNA". It matches the Rfam family "Bacterial small subunit ribosomal RNA", at positions 509 to 809 of the family's 1533-position model. The record is from RNAcentral.